AAGAGAGCCGUAACACAGGUGCUGCAUGGCUGUCGUCAGCUCGUGUCGUGAGAUGUGGUUAAGUCCGCAACGAGCGCAACCCUUGUCAUUAGUUGCUACGAAAGGGCACUCUAAUGAGACUGCCGGUGACAAACCGGAGGAAGGUGGGGAUGACGUCAAGUCCUCAUGGCCCUUAUAGGUGGGGCUACACACGUCAUACAAUGGCUGGUACAAAGGGUUGCCAACCCGCGAGGGGGAGCCAAUCCCAUAAAGCCAGUCGUAGUCCGGAUCGCAGUCUGCAACUCGACUGCGUGAAGUCGGAAUCGCUAGUAAUCGUGGAUCAGCAUGUCACGGUGAAUACGUUCCCGGGUCUU
Molecule: ribosomal RNA, 353 nt
Filed under: uncultured Hydrogenophaga sp.
Lineage: Bacteria; Pseudomonadati; Pseudomonadota; Betaproteobacteria; Burkholderiales; Comamonadaceae
Description: bacterial SSU rRNA
Rfam family: Bacterial small subunit ribosomal RNA
Source: RNAcentral